Molecule: long non-coding RNA, 7738 nt
Filed under: Glycine max (soybean)
Lineage: Eukaryota; Viridiplantae; Streptophyta; Magnoliopsida; Fabales; Fabaceae
Description: long non-coding RNA (GMAX_LNC002735)
Source: RNAcentral
UUGAAAUCGAUGAUCACCCUAUGCAAAUUGAAGAAACACAGUACCCGAAAACCUUCUUCUAUAAAGAAGACCUUCAUCCAGGCAAAACAAUGAAAGUACAAUUCAGCAAGCCUCCCUUUCAACAACCAUGGGGUGUUGGUACAUGGUUAAAGGAAAUUAAAGACACUACUAAAGAAGGAUAUAGUUUUGAAGAGCUAUGCAUCAAGAAAGAAGCCAUUGAGGGAGAAGAGAAGUUUUGUGCAAAAUCCUUGGGAACAGUAAUUGGUUUUGCCAUUUCAAAGCUGGGAAAGAACAUUCAAGUACUUUCAAGUUCCUUUGUCAAUAAGCAAGACCAAUACACUGUGGAAGGAGUGCAGAAUCUUGGAGACAAAGCAGUGAUGUGUCAUAGGCUAAAUUUCAGAACUGCAGUAUUUUACUGCCAUGAAGUCCGUGAAACAACAGCUUUCAUGGUUCCAUUGGUGGCUGGUGAUGGAACCAAAACUCAGGCACUUGCUAUUUGCCACUCAAAUACUUCUGGAAUGAAUCAUCAAAUGCUUCAUCAACUUAUGGGAGUUGAUCCUGGAACUAACCCUGUUUGCCAUUUCCUUGGAAGCAAGGCCAUUUUAUGGGUACCCAAUUUAUCUGUGGACACUGCCUAUCAGACCAACAUUGUUGCUUAAUUAGUCCAUGCAUCUUGAGCACCAUGAGAAUGAGAUUGUGUAUAAAAUAAAUUAUCAUGUGCUGUGUGUUGUGCAAGUACUACCUUCUCUAGCUAGAUUGCUAGAGCUAGAAUUUCAACCUACCUAUGUGUACUGAUAAGAUCUGCUUCCCUACUUAAAGAGAGCAUCAUCCUGUGAUCAGUGUGCUUCGUAUUCUCUCUCUCUAUAUAUAUAUGGUAAAAAGUGGUUAUCUCGUGCCUCGCCUUGAGCUAUCCAUCACUUUUUUUUUUUUAUCUAUCACUUUCUUAUUUUAGAUUGAUUUGUUGAUUUUUUCUUACUUUCUUUAUUCUUUAACUAAAAUAUAUAAAUAUACAUUUAUUUUAUAUAAUUAAAUAAUGACGUGAUUAACUAUUGAAAUAUUUGUUUUAUAACAAAAAGAAUAUAUCUGACUAACCAAUUAUAUAUUGUAAUAACAAAUGACAAGCCUUGAGCUAUUUUAAGUAAGAAUUUUCUAAGGAAAAAUAAAUAAAUAAAAAUACAUUUUUAAGAUAUCUUUUCUUAUUUGAUGAAAUUAUAUAAUAUGGGUGAAAAGCCAACUAUGAUUGACCAAGUGGCGAGGGAUUGGAUUAAAUAUAUAAGGGUUUAUCUUCAUUAUCAUGAUCGUACAUAAAAUAUACAUAUGUUAGCGUGUGUGUAUAUAUAUAUAUAUAUAAAAUUAGGGGGUGGAGGGUCUAUGAUAAAAUUAUAGACUAUAGAUGCAUCUAAUGAUCCAAAAAACUUGAUGAUAAUGGACCGCUUAGUUAAGAGGUCUAUUCUAGAAUUUUUUUUAUGGAUUCAUACAGAUUAAUAAUUUAUAUGAGAUUUUUUUUAAAAAAUAUUAUUUUUUUGUUGAAGACGAAUUGUGGGAAGCAGGAGAAAAAGAAGAACCACAAGAAACAAUUAAGAGCACAAAUGAUGACACAAAGAAGAAGAAAAAGAAGUUCGUAGAAAGAUGAAGAAAAAGAUGAAAGGAUCAACAGUGGCGGUAGGAAUUAUAGGCAUAGGAAGAAGAAGAAUGCGCGUGGUAGCCGACCAUAGGAACAGAACAAUGCGUGUGUAGUGGCUGGCCGGAACAGGAACGAGAGGAAGAAGACCAUAUAAACAAACACUGUAACUUUAUAUUAUAUUAUUAGGGUGAAAAAUAUUUUUGAUAUUUCAGCUUAAGUGUUGGGUGUCCCUGUAAAAAGACUGGGUGUACCAAAUAACUAUCAAGCAUAAUUGAUGGACUUGUAGCCAAAGUGAGUCACCCCAUUAAGGAUAAAACCAGUUUUAGCUAACACAAAUUUACCCAAAUCAUCUCUUAAGCAAACCCAUCAAUCCUGCUUCCAUAAAAAACGAAGCAUCCGUGUCACAUUUUAAAAAAAGCUUCUGGAUGAUGAUGAGAGCCUGCUGUAUCAUUAUUAUUUUUAAAAGAUAAACAGUGGAAUGAUAUUAUUGCAAAGUAAUGAAAAGACACACCAGAACAAAUGAUUUGGAAAGUGCGCCAAAUAUUUGAUUUUUUCCCUAAAGAUAAACAGUGGAAUGUAUUAUUGCAAAGUAAUAAAAAGACACACCAGAACAAAUGAUUUGGAAAGUGGGCGGCCAAAUAUUUGAUUUUUUUUCCCCUAAAGAUAAACAAUGGAAUGUAUUAUUGCAAAGUAAUGAAAAGACACACAGAUUUGGUAAGUGGGCCAAAUAUUUCAAUUUUUCCUAAACAUACAGGUUUUUUUUUUUUUUACUAAAACAUACAACUUCUUUAUUUGUUAUUUGCCAAAAGAAUAUAUUUUUUAUUGUUUACAGGAUAAAUUUAAGUUGGGAAUCUAAAUUUAUAUUUUUUGAAAUUUUCAAACCACCCAAAAAUUCCCUAAGUCAAGCCAUUUCUAAUCACCCGAAAUAAAAUUAAUUGCCACCAAAUGUUUUUGAUGUCAUUUUUUUUUUCUACCAAAAGAAAAGUUAUAUCAUUUUAUUCAUGAUAAAAGAUUCAAUAACAUUAGAAUUAAUUCAAAAAUAUGGUGACUAAGAUAAGAUUAUUUUGACACCCUUAUAAAAACAAACGAUGAUUUGCGUGUAUAUGAAUAAAGCACACAGUAACGUUUUCAAGAUAUAUGAGUUCUUCUCUAUUUUUGUGGACGACAUUUAUAAUAAUAAAAAAAAAGAAUAUCAAUCCUAUCUAAAGCAUGGAAAAAUAAAAACUAUUCACUUAUUUUUAUCUAAUAGUUUAAAAUGUUCAGAUAAUAAUUGGUUCAUGGGAAAAAUCAAACAGUUAACUAAACUAACCGGCUACCAUCCCAUCCAAUUUAACGUGGAUAGAAAAAAUCGAAUAAACUAAAAAUUCAACAAAUAUUAGUUAACAUAUAAAUAAAACCAAAUGAUGAUUAAUGUGUUAAAGUACACUUUAAUCAUUUGUAUAAUACUCAAAUUCGAUCCUUAAUUAAAAUAAUUUUUAUUCAAAUUUUAUUUAUUUUUUAACCAAAUUUUAAAUUAAUCAGGAUUUUUUUCUAACGAGAGGGUAAAAAAAAGUGACACAUAAAUUAAAUAUUUGAUAUUUUAAAUUAUUUUUAUUAUAUAUCUUAUGUUUUAUUUGAUAUUUUCCAUAAAAUUAAAAAUAAGAUUAAAUUAAAUCAAAAACUGAUCCAUUCAAAUCGUUUUAAAUUAAUUCAAAUCUAAUUAAAAAUUUAAACUAGAAUUAUUUGAUAAUAAAUUAAUAAAAUAUUAUUAGAUUAGAUAUUUUUUUCUUUAAAAUUAAUCCAAUUCAAUUAUUGCUUAUGCGGUCCCAAAAAAUUACAACCAUGUACACUCCUAACGAAUCUGUAGGGUAGGAUUCAUUAUGAGGUCAUUCGAUAGUAAUGAUAUAAUACAUAAAAUCCUUUUACAAAAUUAAACUUAAUACUCGUGAUAGAAAUAAAAAAUAAACACUUUUACAAAAUAAGACAAUUGAAUUAUUUUUUUUCUUAAUAUUCUGAUUCAUCGAAAAAAAACCCUAACUAACCUAUGAUCGAAAGAUAAAUAAAAUUUUAUCAAAAAUUAAACUCAAAUAUUCUUAAAUAACUCAAUUAUAUUUAUCAUGGUUGAAUUUAUUCUGUAAAGAACUGAACCUCCUUCGCUGCGGUGUAGGGUAGACUUCUGAUGCCACAACAAUAGGAGCCAUUUUAGAGGACCAGUCUAAACAGUGUGAAAAAGAUAGAAAAAAGUCAAAUCCGUAAAAUUAUAAAAUAUGUAAUCAUGGGGAGCUCGUGGUUCAAGAAAUAUAUAUUUUAGUCAUUACUUUAAUGAGAUAUAGGUAAGAUAAAAUGAGUGCAUUAUUGGUGUAAUCAACUGGAAGUUGAGCCAAGGAGGAACAGAGGAACCGGCGCUGAUAAAUUAUUAUUGGCAAAGUUAAUCUCGGAAGCUGUCCAAAAUAAAGUUCAAUAAAAAAAAUGAUACUUGGCGUUUAAUGUAAGUAAAAAAAAAUUAAUUUCCAACGUUAUAUUCUCUAUAAAAAAGAAUUUAAUUUUUUAAUUAUAUAUAUAUAUAUAUAUAUAUAUAUAUAUAUAUAUAUAUAUAUAUAUAUAUAUAUAUAUAUAUAUAUAUAUAUAUAUAUAUAUAUAUAUAUAUAGGGUCCUUAGAUCCAUAUAUGUGAUUUCACACUUUUAGUGAUUAGUGUUCUGUCAUGUAAAAAAAAUAAAAAUACUUUCAUUCAAUGUGAUAAGAACACCGGUGGCACGUAUGCAAAAAUAUGGAUCUAAGGACCCCAUGGACCACAAAAUUGAUAUGUGGACCACAAAAUUGUUGGGUUUGUGGGGGCGAAUUCUGAAAACCAUGACAUUUAUAUGCAUACACGUACACAAAAUUGCAUGCUAACAGGCAGUCAUUAUUUUUAAUCCACUUGAACAUUAUUAUUUAUAUGCAUUUAUUUCUUUUAUUUUUUUACCUUACCGAUCAUACGUCAAGAAAAAACAAUUAUAUAAUUUUUUAAUUAAUAUAAAAUAUUUUUUUACCCUCUAUUUUUUCAUACACAUACAUAAAGGAAUGCAAGUUUUUGGCAUGCAUUUCUUUUUAUUUUUUUCCAUCAAAUAACACAUCUUUUCAACUUUACUUCUCUUUUAUUUUUAUAGUUUCUAUUUUUGUCAUCUCUAUUCCAUUCCUAACAAAUACCAUAUAAGUCUAAUCUUUUUUAACAGUAUACGAGCCAAACUUCACUAUAUAUAUCUCUGUCCCUGCAAGAGUUUGAGUCACAAAUUUUCCACUCUUCCUCACCGAUUGCUAGAAUGGAAUUUCGAUGCUCAGUCAUCUCUUUUACCAUUCUCUUCUCUGUAAGUGCUUUGGUGCUCAGAAGCCUUUAGAUAUUCUAUUUUUCGUGUCUUUAUGAGCUCUUGCUAACUAGUUUUUCAUAAGUGUUCAGAAACUUAAACAACAAUUAUUAAUAAAUGAUUCUCCAUUUCACAUACUAAAAGCUAUCCAUCCUAUAUAUAAUGAGGCUCUAUUAAUGUUUAAUAUCAAUAAAAAGGAAUUUCAUUAAAAGAGAAAAAAAGAAAUGAACUAUAUAUAGCACAAGAAAUGCCAAGGGUCACCUACAGAUAACAAUCUGGCACACGUAUAUUUAACAUCUGAAAACCAAUAUUUAUGUGGGAUAUACAUUAUUUAUAUAUAUGUUUGUGUGUUUCCCUUUGUCAAUACAUGCAACGAUAUUGUUAAGACAUUAGACUUACAUAUUUGUGAAUAUUUCUAUGUGGCAGCUUGCUCUUGCAGGAGAGAGCCAUGUCCAUGCAUCGCUACCUGAGGAAGAUUAUUGGGAAGCUGUUUGGCCAAACACUCCCAUUCCCACUGCACUGCGAGAGCUUCUAAAGCCUCUCCCUGCAGGUUUAUUAAUUUUAUGAGAAUUAUCAAUUCUAGAUUAUUGAUUCUUGAACAUGGGUUCUUAUCUUCCUAUCAUGCCUUGGCAAGUUAAAACGUUAAUUAGGUUUGGCUGUGUAACAAAGUAGCAAAGACAAAAUUUAAAAGGAAAAUGCUUAAAGUAUUAAAUGUUAGAGUGCAAGACAUGCGAAAAGUCUCCUUACAAAUUCAUUCAUAAGGGUGAUUUACCCAGUUAUAUAAACCCUUAUCAUGUUCAUUAACUACUUGAUGUGGGACUCUUAACACGCCUCCUCGAGUCAGGGCUCACCUCAAAGUGAGGACUGACGGCACUAUCCAUCAAACUACCGGACUCUGAUGCCAUAUUAAAUGUUUGAGUACAACAAAGACAUCCGAAAUAUCCCUUUAAAAAUCGGUUCAUAAGAGAGUGAUCUACCAGCUAUAUAAACACUUAUCAUGUUCAUUAACUAGAUGUAGAACUCUUAACAUAAAGAUACGGUGACCCAAAAAUUAGGAAAGAGCCCCUGAAGGGACAUAAAAAAAGAAAAUGAAAAAAGAACAAAUAGAAGUAAACCAUGUGAUAAGUGACGUGAAUCGAAAAAAAACAAACAAAAUAAGGUGAAAAAAAUGAAAAAGAAAACAAAUACUCUUUAGCGUCCUGUUUAUAAUACCUAUAUUUAAGUGUUGUUUAGUUCUUUUUAUAAAGCUCGUGUUUCUUGCUCUAAUUGUUUAAGACUAAAAUACCCUAAUUACAAGACAAGCUAUAAUGUUAAAUAAUUAGAACAAAGAGAAUGACGUCGAGUAUUAAUAAUAAUAAAAGUUUUGAAGAAAAAAAAAAGACUUAUAAAACAUAAAUUCUGACAGACACUAUAUACAAUGUAGACUAGGGGUACCGUAUACACAUACGUGACAAAAACUCUAAUGAUCAUGAAAUGAAAUAUGAUUAAUAUAAAAUAAAAUAUCUAAAUUCAAUUUACUAAAAGUAAGUUUAAAUUUAUUAUAUAUUUAUUUUUUAAUCAAUCUUCUAUAUUUUUUUAUGAUAUAUAAUUCAUAUUUUAUAUAUUUUAAGCUGACUUUUUCAAAAGUUAAAAAUAAAUAAUUUUUUAAUAAUAUUAAUGCGUGUUUAUUCACAUGAAAAUGUUCUUUUAAGUGUAUGAAUUGUGGUGUCCAAAUCAAUCAAAAAUAAUUUUUUAGUUGGACGCCUAUUUAAUUAGAAGUGUAAAAAAAACAUAAAACACUGACGUUAUAUUAGAAACGUCUGUAGCUGACACUUCAAACAAAAGAGAGAUAUCAGUAAUUCAUAGUUUAAGACAUAUUAUUUUCAACUAAAUUAAUUUCUCUCUUGGACAUGCUAUAAAUAGGAUUAGAAUAAUUAUAUAUUUAUAAUUAUUCAAAGAAAAUUUGAUUUAUUUUCGAUCAUUAAAUGACAGGUGUUGAAAUCGAUGAACUCCCUAAGCAAAUUGAUGAUACACAGUACCCAAAAACAUUCUUCUAUAAAGAAGACCUUCAUCCAGGCAAAACAAUGAAAGUACAAUUCACCAAGCGUCCCUAUGCACAACCUUAUGGUGUAUAUACAUGGUUAACGGAUAUUAAAGACACCUCUAAAGAAGGAUAUAGUUUUGAAGAGAUAUGCAUCAAGAAAGAAGCGUUUGAGGGAGAAGAGAAGUUUUGUGCAAAAUCCUUGGGAACAGUAAUUGGUUUUGCCAUUUCAAAGCUGGGAAAGAACAUUCAAGUACUUUCAAGUUCCUUUGUCAAUAAGCAAGAGCAAUACACUGUGGAAGGAGUGCAGAAUCUUGGAGACAAAGCAGUGAUGUGUCAUGGGCUAAAUUUCAGAACUGCAGUAUUUUACUGCCAUAAAGUCCGUGAAACAACAGCUUUCAUGGUUCCAUUGGUGGCUGGUGAUGGAACCAAAACUCAGGCACUUGCUGUUUGCCACUCAGAUACUUCUGGAAUGAAUCAUCACAUGCUUCAUGAACUCAUGGGAGUUGAUCCUGGAACUAACCCUGUUUGCCAUUUCCUUGGAAGCAAGGCCAUUUUAUGGGUACCCAAUUUAUCUAUGGACACUGCCUAUCAGACUAACGUUGUUGUUUAAUUAGUCCAUGCAUCUGCAUCUUGGGCACCAUAAGAUUGUAUAUAAAAUAAAUUAUGGUGUGUUGUGUAUGUUGUGCAAGACCUGGAACUUCACCUUUCUACGUACGUGUGCUGUUAGGAUGCAGUGUGCUUUGAUGAUGCUUUGAUGAAUAUGCAGUGUG